Molecule: non-coding RNA, 823 nt
Organism: Rattus norvegicus (Norway rat)
Lineage: Eukaryota; Metazoa; Chordata; Mammalia; Rodentia; Muridae
Source: RefSeq, a predicted model, not a curated record
CAAAGUGCUCAAGUCUAGAGGCCAACAACCCAGAUAUACUCAAUCCAUGCCAAGAUUUUUAUCCUGUUCUCUGUCACGGUCUCACAAAGACACUUUCUGUAGUGUGAUACAGGUGCAGCUAUGCAAAUAAAUCCAGCUUUGACUGGAAAGUGUGAGCCCUGCUCCCCUAAUGUCAGAUUGGAGUUCUACCCUCACAUCUUGCCUGGCCUGUAGCUUCUUUCUGGGGAAAAGGGUAGGCAGAAGGAAGACUUGUACAAACAGUUUCCAGAUUUACACACUGAUAGUCUCUUUGGGUGGAGCUGGGGCAGGUCCAAGGUGUGAAGGGCUCUGACUUGAUCAGCCUGCUUUCUUGGGUUCUGUCCAGCUAAGCAGACAUCCCCUUCCUCUUUUCCCAGAGCUCACUGGCCGUUUUGAGAACUAAGGAGCCUGGUGUGCACUGAAACACCUUUGGGAGGUGGCACUCAGCCAGGCAAAGGAACAGACUGAGUGGAAACCUGAAGGGUAAACCUUUUAAAUAUGAGAAGCUGUCAUCAAUCAAGAUUUAUCUGGGAGCCUGGGAGCACAGCAGGUAAAAGAGCUUGUUAUACAAGCUGAUCACCUGAGGUUCCUGGAAUCCACAUGAUGGAAGGAGACCUGACUGAAGUUGUCAUCUGAUAGCUGCAGGCUCAGUACUGUGAAGUGUGAACAACCACCCCCUCACUGAUGACGACGAUGAUACAGAAAAUAAAAGUUCAAGAUUUAUUGGGGUAGGUGGAGUGCUUAGAAGGCUAAGGCAGGAAGUUCAUGGGUUUCAGGCCAGCUGGGGUAUAUACUGAGACGAGAU